AAGAGCCAGAACUGGUCGAGCCAAGUUGCCAAGAAAAUCCGCUAAGCGAUGAAGUGUACCUGCCCGUACCGCAAACCGACACUGGUAGGCGAGUUGAAGAUACUAAGGGGAACGAGAGAACCCUCGUUAAGGAACUAGGCAAAAUACCCCCGUAACUUCGGGAUAAGGGGGACCCCUGCGGGUGAAUAGCCUGUGGGGGUCGCAGAGAAAUGGCUCUUCCAACUGUUUAUCAAAAACACAGGUCUCUGCAAAGUCGAAAGACGAUGUAUAGGGGCUGACGCCUGCCCAGUGCUGGAAGGUUAAAGGGAGGUGUGCAAGCACUGAACUGAAGCCCCAGUGAACGGCGGCCGUAACUAUAACGGUCCUAAGGUAGCGAAAUUCCUUGUCGGGUAAGUUCCGACCCGCACGAAUGGCGUAAUGAGAGGAGCACUGUCUCAACGAGGGACUCGGCGAAAUUGAAGUAUGCGUAAAGAUGCGCAUUACCCGCAGCAGGACAAAAAGACCCCGUGGAGCUUUACUGUAGCUUGACAUUGGGUUGAGGGUGCACUUGUGUAGGAUAGCUGGGAGGCUGUGAAGCUGGGACGCUAGUCUCGGUGGAGCCAAUGUUGAAAUACCAGCCUGGUGUACUUUUGGCUCUAACCUGUGGCCCUUAUCGGGCAUGGGGACAUUGUCUGGUGGGCAGUUUGACUGGGGCGGUCGCCUCCGAAAGAGUAACAGAGGCGCCCAAAGGUUGGCUCAGGCUGAAUGGAAACCAGCCGCAGAGUGUAGAGGCAGAAGCCAGCUUGGCUGCGAGACUUACAAGUCGAGCAGGGACGAAAGUCGGGCUUAGUGAUCCUACGGUUCCGAGUGGAAGGGCCGUGGCUUACCGGAUAAAAGCUACCCCGGGGAUAACAGGCUAGUCUUGUCCAAGAGCUCACAUCGACGACAAGGCUCGGCACCUCGAUGUCGGCUCAUCGCAUCCUGGGGCUGGACAAGGUCCCAAGGGUUCGGCUGUUCGCCGAUUAAAGCGGUACGUGAGCUGGGUUCAGACCGUCGUGAGACAGGUCGGUCUCUAUCCGCUGUGGGCGCAAGGGAUUUGAGAAGGGUUGCCCCUAGUACGAGAGGACCGGGGUGAACGAACCGAUGGUGUGCCAGUUGUGGUGCCAACCGCAUUGCUGGGUAGCUACGUUCGGAAUGGAUAACCGCUGAAAGCAUCUAAGCGGGAAGCCAGCUUCAAGAUGAGAUCCCUUACUAGGUCAACUAGGUAAGACCGCUAGAAGACUACUAGCUUGAUAGGCGGCGGGUGUAAGCACAGUAAUGUGUGUAGCUAA
This 1310-nucleotide ribosomal RNA is filed under the name metagenome. RNAcentral describes it as "bacterial LSU rRNA". It matches the Rfam family "Bacterial large subunit ribosomal RNA", at positions 1580 to 2894 of the family's 2925-position model. The record is from RNAcentral.